AUUGAACGCUGGCGGCAGGCUUAACACAUGCAAGUCGAGCGGGGUGAUGGUGCUUGCACUAUCACUUAGCGGCGGACGGGUGAGUAAUGCUUAGGAAUCUGCCUAUUAGUGGGGGACAACAUCUCGAAAGGGAUGCUAAUACCGCAUACGUCCUACGGGAGAAAGCAGGGGAUCACUUGUGACCUUGCGCUAAUAGAUGAGCCUAAGUCGGAUGAGCUAGUUGGUGGGGUAAAGGCCUACCAAGGCGACGAUCUGUAGCGGGUCGGAGAGGAUGAUCCGCCACACUGGGACUGAGACACGGCCCAGACUCCUACGGGAGGCAGCAGUGGGGAAUAUUGGACAAUGGGGGGAAACCUGAUCCAGCCAUGCCGCGUGUGUGAAGAAGGCCUUAUGGUUGUAAAGCACUUUAAGCGAGGAGGAGGCUCUUUUGGUUAAUACCCAAGAUGAGUGGACGUUACUCGCAGAAUAAGCACCGGCUAACUCUGUGCCAGCAGCCGCCGUAA
RNAcentral lists this ribosomal RNA (503 nucleotides) under uncultured bacterium. RNAcentral describes it as "partial 16S ribosomal RNA". It matches the Rfam family "Bacterial small subunit ribosomal RNA", at positions 30 to 523 of the family's 1533-position model. The record is from RNAcentral.